This 252-nucleotide ribosomal RNA is filed under the name uncultured bacterium. Its description in RNAcentral is "partial 16S ribosomal RNA". It matches the Rfam family "Bacterial small subunit ribosomal RNA", at positions 524 to 776 of the family's 1533-position model. The record is from RNAcentral.
UACGGAGGAUGCGAGCGUUAUCCGGAUUUAUUGGGUUUAAAGGGUGCGCAGGCGGGCUGUCAAGUCAGCGGUAAAAUAGCGGGGCUCAACCCCGUCGAGCCGUUGAAACUGGCAGCCUAGAGUGGGCGAGAAGUAUGCGGAAUGCGUGGUGUAGCGGUGAAAUGCAUAGAUAUCACGCAGAACUCCGAUUGCGAAGGCAGCAUACCGGCGCCCGACUGACGCUCAUGCACGAAAGCGUGGGGAUCGAACAGG